UACGGGGGGGGCAGGCGUUGUUCGGAAUUACUGGGCGUAAAGGGCUCGUAGGCGGCCAACUAAGUCGGAUGUGAAAUCCCCAGGCUUAACCUGGGAACUGCAUCCGAUACUGGAUGGCUUGAAUCCGGGAGAGGGAUGCAGAAUUCCAGGUGUAGCGGUGAAAUGCGUAGAUAUCUGGAGGAAUACCGGUGGCGAAGGCGGCAUCCUGGACCGGCAUUGACGCUGAUGAGCGAAAGCUAGGGGAGCAAACGGG
RNAcentral lists this ribosomal RNA (253 nucleotides) under uncultured bacterium. RNAcentral describes it as "partial 16S ribosomal RNA". It matches the Rfam family "Bacterial small subunit ribosomal RNA", at positions 524 to 776 of the family's 1533-position model. The record is from RNAcentral.